GGGGUAAUGUCAUGUGUAGCGUUUUUGGAGCCUGGAUGGCGCUUUGAGCCCUCUUUCUUUCAUCACGUUCCUCAAGCCGUACACCUGUCUCCAAUCAGCCCUCGUCACCACCUACUUAUAAGCCUGCCUGUUCCCGGAAAUCCUCGCCAAAGUAUUGCAGUUACCGUAUUUUCACGACGAUAAGGUGCACUUAAAAGUCUUACAUUUUCUCUAAAAUGGACGGGGUGCGCCUUAUAGUGCGUGGCACGCCUUGUAUGCACCGAGUUCCAACAUCUAUAAAUGUUGUUGUGUGAUGAGAGCUCUGCUUGACUUCCCCCCCGCUGCUUAUACAGAGGAAAAGCAGACAUAAAGGGGGAAGGGUGCGUGAAGGAGGGACGCUACAGCCAAGCCCCCAGUAGGUAUAUAGCGUUGGGGUGUGCAUUAUGCAAAACAUCAGUUUGGCUAAGGACCCCGCUGAAAAUGGCACCUACGAAGAGACGAGUUUAUGAAGCACAGUUUAAACUGCAAGCUGUCAGUUACGCGGAGGAACAUGGGAAUCGAGCAGCCGCGAGAGAAUUCAAGAUCAACGAAUCCAUGGUUCGCAAGUGGCGGAAGCAGGAAGACGAAGCUGAGUUUCCGCGGAAACAAGGCGAGGUGGCCCGAGUUGGAAGAGCAAUGGAUUAAUGAGCAAUGAACAGCCGGGAGAAGCGUCUCUACAGUCACCAUUCGACUGAGGGCAAUAACACUUGCAGAAGAAAGGAAAAUCGAACAUUUUCAACGAGGUCCGUCUUUGGGGCUUUCGUUUUAUGAAACGGCGCCAUUUAUCCAUCCGGGCAAGGACUACCGUGGCGCAGCAAUUUCCGGCAGAUUACAAGGAAAAGCUGGCGUGAGAGCGAUGGAUGACAGAUGGCGAACACAGCUUUACUAAGACUAGGAGGCAGCGCCUGGUGAGUUAACGCCACCAUAUGUGAAUGGAUUGUGGAUGCUUGGGCUAACGUGUCUGUUUACACUGUUGUUCGAGCUUUCGUAAAAGCCGGCAUUUCUGAGGAGCCGCACGGCAACGAGACUGACUCCAACGAGUACUAGAGGGAACCUGGCGUGUUUGAUUAUUAACUUGCCCAGCUGUUCAUUUCAGAUACAGAAGAUGAGGACUUUGAUGGAUUUGUGGAUGAGAAUUGAUAAAAAAAUAACCGUUUUCCCCCGUGUUCCUGAUCCACGUCAUUCCUGCCAGCUGCCUGUCCUCACCACAGCCUGCCACCUGUCCUCGCCACUGCCUGCUAACCCACCUAAGACCACCUCCAUUACCUUUCCUAAAUAAAACGUUCAUCAUAAUC
Molecule: long non-coding RNA, 1313 nt
Organism: Phyllopteryx taeniolatus (common seadragon)
Lineage: Eukaryota; Metazoa; Chordata; Actinopteri; Syngnathiformes; Syngnathidae
Exons: 2
Source: RefSeq, a predicted model, not a curated record